UCUAACAUCGCCCAAGAUGGUGCGCGGGCCCCGUGCUGCGGAUGGGCGCGUGAAAAGGGAACGCGGUAGGGCACCUGUCCCGAAGCCGCGGCUGACCCCGCAACUGUAUAUGGCGCGCGGGUCCGGAGAUGCCACUGGGCGAUAUGCCCGGCAAGGUCCGGACAGGCGACGACCCACGAGCCAGGAGACCUGCGAUCUGCUUGGUGUCGAG
RNAcentral lists this non-coding RNA (211 nucleotides) under Rhodovulum sp. RNAcentral also lists the same sequence under 1 other name. Lineage: Bacteria; Pseudomonadati; Pseudomonadota; Alphaproteobacteria; Rhodobacterales; Paracoccaceae. The record is from RNAcentral.